Molecule: ribosomal RNA, 497 nt
Filed under: uncultured bacterium
Lineage: Bacteria
Description: partial 16S ribosomal RNA
Rfam family: Bacterial small subunit ribosomal RNA
Source: RNAcentral
GAUGAACGCUGGCGGCGUGCCUAAUACAUGCAAGUCGAGCGAACGGACGAGAAGCUUGCUUCUCUGAUGUUAGCGGCGGACGGGUGAGUAACACGUGGAUAACCUACCUAUAAGACUGGGAUAACUUCGGGAAACCGGAGCUAAUACCGGAUAAUAUUUUGAACCGCAUGGUUCAAAAGUGAAAGACGGUCUUGCUGUCACUUAUAGAUGGAUCCGCGCUGCAUUAGCUAGUUGGUAAGGUAACGGCUUACCAAGGCAACGAUGCAUAGCCGACCUGAGAGGGGGAUGGGCCAGAAUGAAACUGAGACACGGGCCAGACGCCUACGGGAGGCAGCAGUAGGGAAUCUUCCGCAAUGGGCGAAAGCCUGAAGGAGCAACGCCGCGUGAGUGAUGAAGGUCUUCGGAUCUUAAAACUCUGUUAUUAGGGAAGAACAUAUGUGUAAGUAACUGUGCACAUCUUGACGGUACCUAAUCAGAAAGCCACGGCUAACUACGUG